This is a long non-coding RNA of Heterocephalus glaber (naked mole-rat), 1829 nucleotides long. RefSeq lists it as uncharacterized. The record is from RefSeq and is a predicted model, not a curated record. NCBI's taxonomy places the organism in Eukaryota, Metazoa, Chordata, Mammalia, Rodentia, Bathyergidae.
UGGAACAAAUUGAGUCUUUUAAAAGAGGAGGCAGCAGGAAGAAUAAGUCUUCAGUCACCAAUGUAGGUGAUUCCAAAAUAUUCAUUCAGAUUUCUUCUUGGUUGAAUGCCCAGUGAAAUCCUGUCUUGAAAAACAAGAGUGAAACAAUCGCUAUAAAAAAAUGAAUCUCUCUCCUUCGUUUCCCUUCCCCUUCUUCUUUCUUUGCCUUGUUUUUUGUUCUAAUAUGUAUUAACACCUUGUAUAUUUCUUUAAUUACUCCAUAUUUAAUAUAUUACUUGUUUGGCAUAUCCAGUUAUUGUUGGCUCCCUCUCAGUUGAAUUUAUAUAAGCUCCAUGAUCUCAGUUGAAUUUAUAUAAGCUCCAUGGAAAUUGUGGCCUUUUAAAAACUGCUUUUCUCCCGAUGCCUAGAAGAGUAUGUAGCAUAUAGUAAGCUAUGAGUGAAUGUCACCUUACUGGGCAACUUGACAUCACAUCAUCACAUUGUGGACGUCAUAAUAUCGGACAUUACAUCAUGAUGUACUACCAAGAUGCUUCCUAAGGUGCCACUAAAGAAUGACCAACUUAUAGAGUCUGUAAUGCUGUGUUUUACUUCCACCAACACAAAUUUCUAUUUCCUACUUUGUUCAGAGCCCAAACCUUGGAAUUAUUUUUGAUGCCUCUAUUUCUCAUACAACACAUCUACACCAUCAGGAAAUCCUGGCAUCUCCAAAUGCUCUCUACCUUUGAAACACAUCCUUAAUCAGAUGAACCAAACAGAUAUGGUCCAUGCUUGGAUGAUGGCAACUUAUGGGCUCUUUGCUCUCAUUCUUGGCAAACCCCUUACUUCAUCCUAGCUCAGCAAUCAGAGGGAUCCCUUAAAAACAUCAGAUCUUGUCCUGGCUUUGCUCAAAAUUCUCUGAUGGUUCCUAGCUCAUCCAAAAUAAAAGCCAAAGUCCUUAUCACAGUUUGCAGAAGUCCCUACAAAUGACCAUUUGUCAUCAAUCCCCUUCAUUCUGCUUACCUCUCUGACCCUCCACUUUCCCUUUCAUUCAGCUCUAAAUGCUCUGCCUUUCUAUGCCUGUCUCAGGAUCUUUGUACCUGCUGUUUCCUCUACUUGGAAUGACAUGGUUCACUCCUCAACCUUGGGGUUCUUGGAUGUCACUUGCUCAGUGACCACACUCUUCCUCCUUGGGCAUUCUGUUUAAAAUGGCUACGCCACCUCACUCCACCUUACCUCACCUCUCCUUGGCCUGCUAGUUUUCACAGAUAUUUUUGCAUUAUCUGACAUGCACACAUACACAUAUUUACACAUUUUUUACUGUUUGUCUCUGCCUAGAAUGCAAGCUUCAAGAAGGUCAGACUUUUACCUGUUUUAGCUCACUGUUGUGUCCUCCAUGUCUAGAACAAUGGUGCCUAUCAUGCAGCAAGACAAGAAAAUAGUUCUUUACUAAAGUAGAAAAAUAAUUUUGGACUAGAUAUUUCCAAGUGCAAAGGUGUACACAAAAACCUUGGAAUGGCUCAGGAAUCAGACAUCUUUUCCUUAUAUUGGUCUUAUCCACCUGAAUUCAGUGGCAAACAAGGCACAUUAUCUGUGACUUCAGAGAGAGUACCCUAUAACCCUUUGGCUUGGAACAGCUAAUACAAUUUAAGUUUCUAUGAGCACAAGUCAUCAAGAAUUGGGUUUGUGACUUUGUCCCUGUGAGCUGCAGGGAAGAAGGGCUUGUGGAGUCUGCCUGGGGGAAUCAACUCUUCCUUACCUCGAAGAGCAGCAGGGCCAACCUGAGGACUUAGGGAGUGUGACAGCAAAUGAAGGCCACCCACCCCUCCACACCCCAGAGGACACCCACUGUG